GGGUAGAUCUCCACCCUUGAAUAUAAACCUUUGUUGCUUUGGCGGGCCGCUUCGGCUAUCGGCUUCGGCUGGUAAGUGCUCGCCAGAGAAACCCAAGCUCUGAAUUACAGUGUCGUCUGAGUACUAUAUAAUAGUUAAAACUUUCAACAACGGAUCUCUUGGUUCUGGCAUCGAUGAAGAACGCAGCGAAAUGCGAUAAGUAAUGUGAAUUGCAGAAUUCAGUGAAUCAUCGAAUCUUUGAACGCACAUUGCGCCCCUUGGUAUUCCGGGGGGCAUGCCUGUUCGAGCGUCAUUAUAACCCUCAAGCCUAGCUUGGUGUUGGAGCAUGCCUACAGGCAGUUCUCAAAAUCAGUGGCAGUGCCUUCUGGCUCUAAGCGUAGUAAAUUUUCUCGCUAUAGAUUUCAGAGGGACACGCGCCAGAACCCCCAACUUUCUAUGGUUGACCUCGGAUCAGGUAGGGAUACCCGCUGAACUUAAGCAUAUCAAUAAGCGGAGGAAAAGAAACCAACAGGGAUUGCCUCAGUAACGGCGAGUGAAGCGGCAAAAGCUCAAAUUUGAAAUCUGGCUCUUUCAGGGUCCGAGUUGUAAUUUGUAGAAGAUGCUUUGGGUGUGGUUCCGGUCUAAGUUCCUUGGAACAGGACGUCAUAGAGGGUGAGAAUCCCGUAUGUGAUCGGUUGCCUUCGCCCGUGUAAAGCUCUUUCGACGAGUCGAGUUGUUUGGGAAUGCAGCUCAAAAUGGGUGGUAAAUUUCAUCUAAAGCUAAAUAUUGGCCAGAGACCGAUAGCGCACAAGUAGAGUGAUCGAAAGAUGAAAAGCACUUUAGAAAGAGAGUUAAACAGUACGUGAAAUUGUUGAAAGGGAAGCGCUUGCAAUCAGACUUGCACGCGGUUGAUCAUCCGGUGUUCUCACCGGUGCACUCUGCCGCGUUCAGGCCAGCAUCGGUUUCGGUGGUUGGAUAAAGGCCUUGGGAAUGUAGCUCCUCU
This 982-nucleotide ribosomal RNA is filed under the name uncultured fungus. RNAcentral describes it as "eukaryotic LSU rRNA". The stretch from base 441 to 982 matches the Rfam family "Eukaryotic large subunit ribosomal RNA", at positions 1 to 546 of the family's 3401-position model. Lineage: Eukaryota; Fungi. The record is from RNAcentral.